CUUUCUACUCGUGGUGAUUUGGCCGGCCGGCUUGCAGCCACGUUAAACAACUCGCUAAAGAGGCCGCGCGCAUCCGGAC
Molecule: non-coding RNA, 79 nt
Organism: Hyphomicrobium sp. SCN 65-11
Lineage: Bacteria; Pseudomonadati; Pseudomonadota; Alphaproteobacteria; Hyphomicrobiales; Hyphomicrobiaceae
Source: Rfam